This is a non-coding RNA of Callithrix jacchus (white-tufted-ear marmoset), 7823 nucleotides long. Lineage: Eukaryota; Metazoa; Chordata; Mammalia; Primates; Cebidae. The record is from RefSeq and is a predicted model, not a curated record.
CAGAGCUCGGGAUGAGAACUGCUCUAAGAAAGGCGCGUCCCGCACCCUCCAAACCCUAUUCUGAAAGCCCGGAGAGGUGCGGGCUCCAAAGAUGUGGAGAGCAAAAUAUGUAAAGGAGUGAUUCCGCUCACCAGUCACACAGUGGGGCGGGACAGCCCCAUCUCGCAGUUUCUCAUUAUUCAACACGGAACCUAACGCGCUGCAAUAGACGCGUGCGCAAGACUGUUUGGGGGCGUUUUGGCGCUUAAUCUGGGGCAGGCGGAACCUUAGUCCUCAUCCCUGAGUUUCCCGCGACUCUGCUCUCACCGCUACACCACCACACGGACGACCUCCUUCCCCCACCCCCGGGGAUUCAUCCCGGUGGCGGGCUCCGGAGUUCGAGACUGCUAAUUUCAGCGAAACGAUUAACGCCCCAACGGCUGACGGCACUGCCUCUCCUCCGGUAGGGAAGGGCAUGCAGCGUAUAGUCACCCACGCUUCCCCGCCGGCGCAGAGCAGGCCCCACUGAGGCGCGCGCCGCCGGCACGCACGCCGCCCCGCCCCCUCGGCCCGUCGCCACCCGCGCGUAGCGCUCGCCUGCAUCCCCCGCCCUCGACCCCCGUGCUGUUGGAGGGGCCCGAGGUGAGCCAGAUACCGCUGUUGUCCGGAGGGAAGCCAGAGAAGACCGAGUCGAUUGGGCGGAGCGGCAGAGGGUCGGAGACUGCCCUAAACGCCCAGGAGUAGAAGUGGACAGGGGGCAGGGGGCAGGGUUACGUGAGGGAGCGCGCAGCAACUGAGCUUGGGUCCGACUGGAGCUCGGGGUCGGGACCCAGACUGGUGGGCCAGGUCUCCAAGCCGGCCUUAGCCCGAGUCGAGGAGGAGAGACCGGACACAGAGGGACGGAGCGAGCAAGGAGACAUGGCUUCAUCAUUCCUGCCCGCGGGGGCCACUACCGGCGAUAGCGGUGGAGAGCUGAGCUCAAGGGACGACUCCGGGGAGGUGGAGUUCCCCCAUAGCCCUGAGACCGAGGAGUCCAGUUGCCUGGCCGAGCUGUUUGAGAAGGCUGCCGCACACCUGCAAGGCCUGAUUCAUGUGGCCAGCAGGGAGCAGCUCUUGUACCUGUAUGCCAGGUACAAACAGGUCAAAGUUGGAAAUUGCAAUACUCCUAAACCAAGCUUCUUUGAUUUUGAAGGAAAGCAAAAAUGGGAAGCAUGGAAAGCACUUGGUGAUUCAAGCCCCAGCCAAGCAAUGCAGGAAUAUAUCGCAGUAGUUAGAAAACUAGAUCCAGGUUGGAAUCCUCAGGUACCAGAGAAGAAAGGAAAAGAAAUAAAUACUGGCUUUGGUGGGCCGGUUAUUAGUUCUCUAUAUCAUGAAGAAACCAUCAGGGAAGAAGACAAAAAUAUAUUUGAUUACUGCAGGGAAAACAACAUUGACCAUAUAACCAAAGCCAUCAAAUCCAAAAAUGUGGAUGUGAAUGUGAAAGAUGAAGAGGGUAGGGCUCUGCUUCAUUGGGCCUGUGAUCGAGGACAUAAGGAUCUAGUCACAGUCUUGCUACAACAUAGAGCUGACAUUAACUGUCAGGAUAACGAAGGCCAAACAGCUCUACAUUAUGCCUCUGCAUGUGAGUUUCUGGAUAUUGUAGAGCUGCUGCUCCAGUCUGGUGCUGACCCCACUCUCCGAGACCAGGAUGGCUGCCUGCCGGAGGAGGUGACAGGCUGUAAAACAGUUUCUUUGGUGCUGCAGCGGCACACAACUGGCAAGCCUUAAUCAAAAGACUGGAAAACCGCAGUCUGUAAUAGCAUAAGGCUUCCAUUAUGAAAGAAAACUACAAAAAUAAUACUUCUUUUAUCGUCCAUCUUUGUUGCUUCACCAGAGAGAUGCUGGAUUAAAGUAUGGUGAUUAUCAGACUCAAGAAAAAGUAUGCUUCCUUCCGAUGGUCGUCAGCUAGUGUUUAUUAUGUACCAAGUGUGGUCACUUUUUCAAUAUGCAUUAAUUGGCAUUAUACUAGAAGACUGAACAGGUAAAGCUAUUUAACCGAAUAUUCACUUGUCCUUGAAAUACUCCUGUCAUGAUCUUUGUAUGGAUCACUUCACAUGAAUCACGCAUAGUUAUUGGGAAUUCACAGCUUAUUUCUUAGUUCAGGGAGACUGUUCCUUACCCGAAAUGCUUGGGACCAGAAAUGUUUCAGAUUUCUGAUUUUUAAAAAAAACUUGGAAUAUUUGCAUUAUAUACAUACCAGUUGAACAUCCCUAAUCUAAAAAGCCAAAAUCCAAAAUGCUUCAAUGUGAAUUUCCUUUGACAUGUAAGCACUGAAAAAGUUUUGGGUUUUGGAGCAUUUGCUAUUUUGAUUUUCAGAUUAGGGAUACUCGGCCUGUAUUUUUCUUUUAUACUUGAAUUCUUCAAAAUUUUCUUUCCUGUUUUUUGUUGUGUCACUUUUUCUUAGCAAAAUUACAAAACAUCAUUUCACAUUUUCACCGUCUUACGGGAUGCAUGUACUGGAAUCACUUCCGGGGGCACUAUUCCUUCCUUUGUAUUCCUAAUUCUAAAAACCAGGUCGGGGUGUUCACAAAUUACAGACUGAUUUGUUUGCAGGACAGAAUCUUUCUUGCUGAUUUUAUUCCUAAACAAUAAAACUCUGAAGUUAAAAACCAGGUGAGAAAACAUGGGAGGAGCUGCCCCACAACAGGCACUUGUCUCGUGCUGGAGCUCUAGGCACUCAGCGUGGCUUUCUCUCAGGGGUGGGAAAUGAUCUCGUGCUGGAGCUCUAGGCACUCAGCGUGGCUUUCUCUCAGGGGUGGGAAAUGAUCUCGUGCUGGAGCUCUAGGCACUCAGCGUGGCUUUCUCUCAGGGGUGGGAAAGUGACCAUUUGAACCUAAUGCUACUGGAUGCUACUGGCUGAACAUGUGGGACCAUGAGGGCAUUAAGGAGUCAAGAGGUGACUUCCAAUGGACUGUGCUAGGCAGCAGCCACAAAUUCAUCAUCGGCACUACAGGUAGGAUUUAUUUUUCCUCUCACUUGUGUAGCAAUCCCAGUUUCCAUUUUAAUAUUUAGAAGGUAAGUUCAAUUGAUGGACACUUUGUAUAAUAAAAGUCUCUUUUAAAGUGCGUGCUCAUGCACACACUCAAGAUAGAAAGUGGCACUCCCAGUGCCCAUGGCUUUCAUGGAGUACAUUUGUGGAGCCCAAAGCUUAGUCCUGGAUAUGUUUAUGGCACUUUAGCUCCGUUUGUGAGUUUGGAACCCUUCCAAAAAAAAAAAAACAAAAAGACAUAUAUUAUUGUUUAUAAUCUGCUUUAUUCCGCCAAACCUUGACUGAACAGACUUGUGGAUUGCUCUUUAAAUCCCUCAGUGCCUUUAACUACCGAUACAGAAAGUGGUUAAUGCGCAUUCUAAAUGAAGCUUGGCAGCCACUCCAGGAAAUCACUUUAAUUGAGGAGCAUUAAAUGUUAAAAUGAUUUUUUUUUAAGCCAGCACACACAUACUGAGUAUAGAAGUUCUGGCCCACCAGUAAUAAUAGUUUCUUGGUUAUCAUAUCCCUCCAGCUUUGCAGUUGACAGGUGUCGAAAAAGUGACUUUCAGUUCCCUGGGUCACUAUCUGCAGACAGCUGGCCAGUGAGGAGGCAACCUUCAAGGAUUCCACUUCAGAGGAGGGGGAAGGGGCUAUCAGCUUUAUGGAUGUUUGUUUUCUGAAAUAAUAAACUAGUCCCAGGUGACUAAAAUAUGAGAUUUAACCCCAAAGUCCUCGCCUGGGCUCUCCAUUGCUGUGCAGAAGCCAUCUGUUGAAAUCUAUUUACCAUUUUAAAGAUCUCUCUUUUAUUUCCAACUCCAAGUGUGUGCCAAGACCACUUUUCAGGGUCUAUAUUUUAUCUUUCAGAAAGCCGUUUCCAGCCUUUCCCAAAUCCCCAACCCCUGCCAACCAACAGGAGAUCCUGGUCUAGGACUGGCAAGCAAGAGAAAGAUAAAUUGCUACAUUUUUUUUAAAGGCCUCUCCUACAACUCUAGAGGUACUUCGGCCUCUGUGAACCAGCUGAGUAGAAUCCUGGGCCCAAGGAGAAAGGAUAGGAAAGCAAUGGAACGCUGACUGUGGAGCCUCCAUGUGUUCUCCUGACUAAACUUAGGGUCUGCACACUGAUAAAGCCUCCUGCCGAGGAAAAAACCUAAAAGGAGAUUUUCCUAGAAAAUGUUUGUCCAGAAGCCCUGAUGACUCUGAUGAAGUGUUUUUGUUCCUCUGUGGUGACUUCAACAGCCCAGAUGAGAUUAAGUGGCUUUCCACAUCCUGCCGAGAAGCCUAGAAGGAACAAUAAUAGCUGACAUGUGUUAGCACCUACCAUGUGCUGGUGUUGACCAAGGACUUUCUAUGCAUUCAGUCCUCACCAUCGGCAGGGCUCGCCCUGGCUUCAAUGUUCUUGCUGAGUGCGUGACUUGGGCCAGUAACGCACCUCCCCUAGGAAACCCAGGGUGCAACACUGCCUGCCCUGGUCUUGGCAGGCACUAGACUAGUGAAGCAGCUAUGUGCCCAGGACACGCGUGCACACAGUGAGGGGGAUGCGCCCCGCACCUUCCCUUCUUGGGCUGUUUUCUUCUCUUGAGUGGCCACUCAUCCUGGAACUGCUGUGGCCCAACUCCCUCCCUGAAGCCCUGGACCGGAAGGGAUUCUGGAGCCCCUGCUGCAGAGACUACCCUGCUCAGAGAGUCAUUCCAAAAGACAAAGGGAAACCUCCCAAACUCCUUCCUUUUCAUUCUGAGGAGUCAGUCCCUCCUGUGCAUAUGGUAAGAGUCUAGACAGGAGUGUCUGGUGCAGCUUUGAAUUAUGCAAAUGGGAACUCGUGCACAUAGUCAUUAUAUGGAAAAUGUGAACUAAUGCAAUCACCAAAAAUGUUUUCAUUCCUUGAGAAUCACUUAAUUUCAAAAUAGCUUGGCCUGGGGAAUUAUAAAUUUUUUGCCACAGCCAGAUGACAGCGCCACUGGGAUAUACCCAUCAUCCUGGGUGGUGGCCUGUUGGUUCUGCACUGCUACUCACACGCACGGGACUAGCUUCUUGCAAUGAUGGGGACUAAUAUGCUCUUAUUUUAACAUUCACUGUUAUUAUAAUUUAAAAUCUUUUUUAUAUCCUAUAACAAUGUCAUCCAAGUAUUCAUUAAGUAGCACUGGCAGUGCUCGUGCUGAAAAAUGUACCCAAAAAUCAAUAACUUUGGUGCGGAAGUUAAAUGUGAUAAAACGCUUUGAGGAAGGCCAAGCGAGACCAUGCUACCUGGGGCUGUUAACUUAGGAGAGAGCAUUGUGCAAGGUAUUCAAGAUAAUGCUGAGAAAAUAAAAAGAUACACUUCACUGGUUAUGGAUUUAUGUGCUCUCAGAAUAUACCAGCCCCCACACACACUCUACAUUAAUUCCUAUGGGAAAAUCAGUCUUAAAAUAUGUUAGUUUUGAAUGAUGCAGGGUCUCCUAGAACUUGUCCCUGGCAUAAAACACAACCUUAUUAUAUUGAAAAUGCAAAUAGUCAGGGAGACGGAACAAGUGAACAAAAUCAUUCACACUAAGGUGCAACUACCUGCCAUGAGAUCCUUUGUUUAGCUAAUGGGCGGGAACUAUGAGCCUGAAAGAGGGUGGGAAUAAAAACAACCUGAAAACACAGCCACACAUUCUGCAGUGGACAGGUCCCCUGCUGCUCCAGGGGCCACUGAUUGCCCAAGACCAAGAGCCCUGCCUUGCUGACGGUGGUGGAGGGGUCGAGGGAAGGACCUGGGGAAUAGGCCAGAGACACUGUGUAACCAUCUGCUUUAAAACCUCAAGCACACCUUGCUUUCCCGUUUGUUUGCACUUCUCCCACGUUGGUCUCCCAUUUCACAAGCCUCAUCCUAUAUAAAACUCAGGAAACAGCCCUAUGUGGCAGAUGCUAUGAUUCCCCCAUAGAGCUGAGAAGCUGAGGCUCAGCCAGUUCUACAGCUUGCCAGACCUUCCUGUGGAGGGGGAUGCCGAGCUGGCUUGUGACAGCAAGUCCAGCCUCUUCCCAUCGUCCUACAGAGGGCUGCUAUGGUGCAAAUAAUCCUCGAUAAAAGUAUGAGCCCCACAAUGUCAUUCCCACGUCCCCAGCCAGAUUCUGACCAAUCUACAUUUUUCUCUGUCAUCUCUUGAACCACCCACAUCAUCAGAAGAUGCUGAUUUGAGAGUGUGCAGAGUCCAAAUGAGGCCUAUGAUGGGGAGAACCAGCUGCAGGCCAGGGGGGGUCAUGCCAUCUUAGUAUCUCUAGCGAAUGGCACCAGACUUCCAAAGGUGUCUUGGUAUCUCAGUCCAUCUGCUGUGGUGGUUCAUCCCUGACAAACUACCCUAAUCUUCCAUGACAUCACAGCUGACUCCAAGGCACUAGCAUGGAGUGAGUUUUAAGACACCAGAGCAGAUUAGUACAUUCAGGCAAACAGCCUUGGGAUGGGUCUGCAGAGGCCCCAGGUCUCUGGAGGAAGGAGGUCAAAGGCCUCUGUCCACCCUGAAAGCCCAGAGCUGAAGGGGCAGGGGUAGGGGAGGUCCUCAAAGAGUCAGGAAGCUCUACACCCUCCUGCCAUGGACAGAAGCCAAGCCCAGCUCCAGCUGGCUCACCUAAAGGGCCCUUAUGAGUCCCCUCUGCUUCCUCAUCACAGCCCCCUUAGAUUUUAUACUGUGUUCAUUGAACAAAAAACUAAUUUCUCCAUGUAUUGGAUCAGAUCUGUAUAACACACGUGUAUGGGUUCAGAAAAGAUCUAGGAAGAGAUACAUGAAAUUGUUGCUGAUUUUUUUUCUCUCAUCAAGCCCAGAGCUACCAACAAGAGCCAUUUUGCAUAGUAACACCCUGAGUUGAUCAAAAUUCUAGUCAAAGGCAAAGGACCUUGAUGUUUUGUGUGUUCGUGCGUCUGAGAUUAUCAGGUUAGGUUUGGCCAAAUCCAAAUUCAGAGCCGGGGCCUGACCCCCCGGACCCGUGGGCACAGCUGGGAGUGAGAAGACAGAGGUAGGGCUGCAGGAGUAAAUGUCGAGGUUGGCCUUGUGAGGGGAGCAUGGGGAAUGUGUCAGUCUGGGCCCUAUCCUGGAAAGCCCCCGGGCUGCCCAAAAGCAUGGUGUGCAGGGUGAGAGCCGCUGCUGCUGGGCCAAGCUAGGCCUUUCCAGGUCUGGCUGCUAAAUGUGGGGCCUGACUUCAGCCACCACCGUGCAGAGCUCCUGCUGCCACCACGGACAGGGGCCCUGGAACGGUUGUGGUGAAGGGGGUGGGGGGAGCUAUGCUGCUGAGAUGGAGCCUCCCUGAAUCUGGCUUGUGUCCUUCCCCUUCACCUAGCAGACGCACUGGGCACUUGCAGAAACACCAGGAACCCCUGCCCUGGAAGAGCCCAGUCUGAGAAGGGAAUGGAAUACAAUCUGCUGAAAUCCCAGAUGUGUGAGGGAUGCAGAAGCCAGUGCUAGGCUCUCACCAAGGCCCUUUGAGGCAGGGGGCUGCUGAGAGGGUCCAUGUACACCCUCAUAUGCAGAACUAAGCAGCAGCCUCACCUGUUCACUGCAGACCAAGCUCCCAGUUGUCCCUCAGCACCCCAGCUCUGGCCCAGGGAAGGGGGCCGCCAUGAUGGUGAUAACCAGGUCCUUGACUACUUCUGAGCCCACCAUGGAAACAGGCAGGCUCUCAGAACCACCACUUGAUGAACACUUCCAUGAAGCCAGCGAGCACUAAUGGCCCGGGAGGUGUUCAGCAUUUGCUCAGAGGCGGCAGUGCAAGAGUAGGACUCCGAGGGCUGAGCAGGUGGGACACCACGAGAAGGGCACCUCAGGCAGAGGCCACGGCCCAAACAAAGGCCUGGAGGGGGAUCACUGGGGCCAUGCUGCUUACCGUUCUG